Molecule: small nuclear RNA, 62 nt
Filed under: Ophiophagus hannah (king cobra)
Lineage: Eukaryota; Metazoa; Chordata; Lepidosauria; Squamata; Elapidae
Source: RNAcentral
CUGCUCGCUUCAGCAGCACAUAUACUAAAAUUGGAAUGAUACAGAGAAGAUUAGCAUGGCCC